This 253-nucleotide ribosomal RNA is filed under the name uncultured bacterium. Its description in RNAcentral is "partial 16S ribosomal RNA". It matches the Rfam family "Bacterial small subunit ribosomal RNA", at positions 524 to 776 of the family's 1533-position model. The record is from RNAcentral.
GACAGAGGUCCCGAGCGUUAGGCGGAAUCACUGGGCUUAAAGCGUGUGUAGGCGGAUUUGUAAGUACCUUGUGAAAUCCCACGGCUUAACCGUGGAACUGCUGGGUAUACUGCUUAUCUUGGGCCAUCUAGGGGCGAGCGGAACAAACGGUGGAGCGGUGAAAUGCGUAGAUAUCGUUUGGAACGCCAAUGGUGAAAACAGCUCGCUGGGGAUGUGCCGACGCUGAGACACGAAAGCCAGGGGAGCGAACGGG